This 800-nucleotide ribosomal RNA is filed under the name uncultured bacterium. RNAcentral's name for it is "bacterial SSU rRNA". It matches the Rfam family "Bacterial small subunit ribosomal RNA", at positions 1 to 810 of the family's 1533-position model. The record is from RNAcentral.
GAAUUCGCCCUUAGAGUUUCAUUCUGGCUCAGGAUGAACGCUGGCGGCGUGCCUAACACAUGCAAGUCGAGCGAUGAAGUUUUCUUCGGGAAACGGAUUAGCGGCGGACGGGUGAGUAACACGUGGGUAACCUGCCUCAUAGAGGGGAAUAGCCUUCCGAAAGGAAGAUUAAUACCGCAUAAUAUUAUCGGGUGGCAUCACUUGAUAAUCAAAGGAGCAAUCCGCUAUGAGAUGGACCCGCGUCGCAUUAGUUAGUUGGUGGGGUAACGGCCUACCAAGACGACGAUGCGUAGCCGACCUGAGAGGGUGAUCGGCCACAUUGGGACUGAGACACGGCCCAGACUCCUACGGGAGGCAGCAGUGGGGAAUAUUGCACAAUGGAGGAAACUCUGAUGCAGCAACGCCGCGUGAGCGAUGAAGGUCUUCGGAUCGUAAAGCUCUGUCUUUAGGGAUGAUAAUGACAGUACCUAAGGAGGAAGCCCACGGCUAACUACGUGCCAGCAGCCGCGGUAAUACGUAGGUGGCGAGCGUUAUCCGGAUUUAUUGGGCGUAAAGGGAGCGUAGGCGGAUACUUAAGUGGGAUGUGAAAUACUUGGGCUCAACCCGAGUACUGCAUUCCAAACUGAGUAUCUAGAGUGCAGGAGAGGAGAGUGGAAUUCCUAGUGUAGCGGUGAAAUGCGUAGAGAUUAGGAAGAACACCAGUGGCGAAGGCGACUCUCUGGACUGUAACUGACGCUGAGGCUCGAAAGCGUGGGGAGCGAACAGGAUUAGAUACCCUGGUAGUCCACGCCGUAAACGAU